This 105-nucleotide small nuclear RNA is filed under the name Jaculus jaculus (lesser Egyptian jerboa). Lineage: Eukaryota; Metazoa; Chordata; Mammalia; Rodentia; Dipodidae. The record is from RNAcentral.
GUGCUUGCUUUUCCAGCAUAUAUCCUAACGUUGGAAUGAUACAGAGAAGAUUAGCAUCACCCUGAGCAGGGAUAACACCGAAUUCAUGAAGUGUUCCAUAUUUUU